Molecule: ribosomal RNA, 312 nt
Filed under: Triticum aestivum (bread wheat)
Lineage: Eukaryota; Viridiplantae; Streptophyta; Magnoliopsida; Poales; Poaceae
Description: partial small subunit ribosomal RNA
Source: RNAcentral
AUGGCGAUGAAGAAUAUGAAGCUCGAGGAAUCUGAACUAGACGAUGUGAUCGUCGGGGAUGAGCAAAUCUCCCAAUUUGCUAAAGAGGCCCGCUGGCUUGCGGUUGCUAAGGUCAACACUAAGAAACCCUUUAGUGCGGAAUCUUUCAAGGCCAUGAUGAAGUUCAUCUGGCGUCUGGCUUAUGAUCCUGAGAUCCGCGAGGCCGAUGACAACCUCUUCGUCAUUCAAAUGUUUUGUUUUGGUGAUUGGAAUAGUGUUAUGCACCAAGGUCCUUGGAUCUUCAGAGGUCUCAUGGUGAUCAUCGAGGAAUAA